Molecule: ribosomal RNA, 275 nt
Filed under: uncultured bacterium
Lineage: Bacteria
Description: partial 16S ribosomal RNA
Source: RNAcentral
CUGCUGCCUUCCGUAGGAGUUUGGACCGUGUCUCAGUUCCAAUGUGGGGGACCUUCCUCUCAGAACCCCUACGCAUCGUCGGCUUGGUGGGCCGUUGCCCCACCAACUACCUAAUGCGCCGCAUGCCCAUCCGUGACCGGGGUCGCCCCCUUUCGGCCGGCAAGGGGAUGUCCCCUCCCGGCAUUAUGUUGUAUUAGGCGGGAUUUCUCCCGGUUAUCCAUCUGUCACGGCCAGGUUGCAUACGUGUUACUCACCCGUGCGCCGGUCGCCGGCGG